CCUACGGGUGGCAGCAGUGAGGAAUAUUGGUCAAUGGCCGAGAGGCUGAACCAGCCAAGUCGCGUGAGGGAAGAAUGUCCUAUGGAUUGUAAACCUCUUUUGUCAGGGAGCAAAGUCACCCACGUGUGGGUGUUGGCGCGUACCUGAAGAAAAAGCAUCGGCUAACUCCGUGCCAGCAGCCGCGGUAAUACGGAGGAUGCGAGCGUUAUCCGGAUUUAUUGGGUUUAAAGGGUGCGUAGGCGGGUUAUCAAGUCAGAUGUGAAAUCCUGCGGCUUAACCGCAGAACUGCAUUUGAAACUGGUGAGCUUGAGUACUGGAGAGGCAGACGGAAUUCCUGGUGUAGCGGUGAAAUGCGUAGAUAUUAGGAGGAACACCAGUGGCGAAGGCGGUCUGCUGGACAGCAACUGACGGUGAGGCGCGAAAGCGUGGGGAGCAAACGGGAUUAGAUACCCGAGUAGUC
RNAcentral lists this ribosomal RNA (460 nucleotides) under uncultured bacterium. RNAcentral's name for it is "partial 16S ribosomal RNA". It matches the Rfam family "Bacterial small subunit ribosomal RNA", at positions 338 to 795 of the family's 1533-position model. The record is from RNAcentral.